CGAAGGAUCCAAGCGUUAUCCGGAUUUAUUGGGUUUAAAGGGUGCGUAGGCGGACUAUUAAGUCAGUGGUGAAAUCCUGCAGCUUAACUGCAGAACUGCCAUUGAUACUGAUGGUCUUGAGUACAUUUGAGGUGGGCGGAAUGGGUCAUGUAGUGGUGAAAUACUUAGAUAUGACACAGAACUCCGAUUGCGAAGGCAGCUCACUAAACUGUAACUGACGCUGAGGCACGAAAGCGUGGGGAUCAAACAGGAUUAGAUACCCUGGUAGUCCACGCCCUAAACGAUGAUUACUCGAUGUGUGCGAUACACUGUACGCGUCUAAGCGAAAGCAUUAAGUAAUCCACCUGGGGAGUACGGCCGCAAGGCUG
Molecule: ribosomal RNA, 368 nt
Filed under: uncultured organism
Description: bacterial SSU rRNA
Rfam family: Bacterial small subunit ribosomal RNA
Source: RNAcentral